AAGAAGAAAGGGGACCAGUUGCCUUGGGGACGCCUUGUUGUCAGCACUCUGUCCUUUAGGAUCUCCUCCUCCUCCUCCGCUCACCAUAGGUAUUGGUCCUUAUCCCGUGGGAGGUCAAGUGGGAAAGGCAGCCCACAGAUGAGCUCUGGAAUCUCCAUGGGGCAACAACGAUGUCUGGACAGCAACUGCUUUGGAAGUUUCUAGCCCCAGAAUUCUAAUGGUCUGACAUUUCUCUGUUGGUCUAGCAGCAGAAAUGAGACUGCUGAGUGUUUCCCCGAGUCCUGCCGGUGUCUUUAUCAAACACACAGGGCUACAGUGGGGAGAGGGCUGGACCAGCAGAGGAGACCCAGGAAAGCAACCUGGAUGAUUUGGGGCCAGUGAGUCUGUCUCACUGGGGAAAAAUGGAACGAAGAGUUCUAUGUACAACAUCUUGAGUUCUUGGGAGUAAAGGAGGAUGUCAAUCCAACAAAUAGUAAUAAAUAGAUUGUAAGUAAAAUGAUUAAUUACAGAACCAGCUUUUCCCCUCCCAUUGAGUCAAUGUUCCCUAUUCCCUUACAGGCCCAGUCCUCCAGAAAUCCAGACCUCUCCGGCUAAAGUUCAAGAAGCUGCAGGCCAUCAGCAUAUGGCUUCCAUCCCUGGACCUUUCUUUCCCCCAAAGAGAUUUCCUGGAGGGAGUGGCUGCCUGUCAUUUAAACCUUUUGACACUUCUUCAUUUUUGUUCCUAGCUCAGCAGGAGCAGCCAGUUUUGCAGCCUCAUGAAGAGAACCGAGCAUUUGAUCUGAAAUUGUUUUUCAAUAGCUGUAUCUUCUUCUGUGUUAUUGCUUUACAUGGCAUAUGUUUGUACAAUAUUGAAAAUCAAUAAAAGUACAAAAAUGUUCCGUCUUCUUUUAAAAAUGAAACUAUCUUGUUAGCAUUCUGGAGCUGAUGUUCUGCUUUUCCUUUUUUCUGUGUCUGGGGCUGUCUGAGGGACCAGGCUGAGAGGCUCAGCAAAGCGGAUAGAAGAAGGGACUGCCCUCCAGGCCCCAAGAGCAGCAUCUGGCAGACAUUGGGCCAAGGCUGCAGACUGAAGCUUGAGACCCAAGGCUGAGAUCAAGCUGAAUUAUGGGCUAGAUUCCAGUGAGCAAAACCCAGAUUAAAGCUGGAUCCCAUAUAAACUUAACUCCCUCCUCCUCCUCCUCCCUCUGCUCAUCUCACACUCAAGGAUGUAGCAGCUAAAACUGAAGUUUUUAAAAUGCAAGCGUUUGAUCUGAGCUAUGCUGUUCCGGAUGAGACUUCACAGUGGAGGUCAUUGCAUUUAUCCUUUUAACUCUAUCACUUUCAGGCUUUGCCCUGGAAGGUGGCACAGAAACAUUGAUGACAGCCAAAUCAGGCCACCCUGCCUUUCACAUGUGGCAGUGAAAAAGAAGAAGCUCAGCUCAGGCCUUUGCUUCCUCUAAAACCUCCCAGUAGAGAGAGAGAGAGCAUUGGGCAGAGAGAGAGAAAUAAAGAUUUGCUACUCUA
Molecule: long non-coding RNA, 1500 nt
Organism: Pantherophis guttatus
Lineage: Eukaryota; Metazoa; Chordata; Lepidosauria; Squamata; Colubridae
Source: RefSeq, a predicted model, not a curated record